Long non-coding RNA from Brachypodium distachyon (stiff brome), 1583 nucleotides. RefSeq annotates it as nuclear-pore anchor. Lineage: Eukaryota; Viridiplantae; Streptophyta; Magnoliopsida; Poales; Poaceae. The transcript is spliced from 5 exons. The record is from RefSeq and is a predicted model, not a curated record.
GUCUCUCGAUCGGGGUGUUCCCCCUUUCCUUGCUCUCUCCCAUUCUCUCCUCUCGACGGCUCUCUCUCUCUCUGCUCCUCCUCUCUAAAUCCCGAGAUCCCCAUUGGCGGAGCAGGCACAGCCCCAAAUCGCGGCGGCGGAGCAAGGCGAGGCGGUGGAGAAGAUCUUUCUGGCGCACCGGAGCAGGCCAAGGCGGCGGAGCAGGGCAGGGCGCGGCCGCCCGGCGGGUUGGAGGCUUGCGCGGGGGAGCAAGGCGAGGCGGCGGGGUAGGGCAGGGUGCGCCCGCCCGGUGGGUUGGAAGGCGGGCGCGGCGGAGCAAGGCGAGGCCUCGCGGCGCCGCGGAGCAGGGCAAGGCCGGAGCAGGCCGCGGACGUGGGACAAAGCGUGGCCACCCGACAGGGCCAGAGCAGGAUGCGGCUGCAGUCGACCAUACGGGAGAAUUUCAGGGCUGCCUUUGAUUUCUCUUGAUCCAUGGCCGGCUCCUCCGAUCAAUCCAUCAGCCGCGGACGUCUUCUAUCCCUUCUGCCAUGUGAGUAAUCUACGAUGUGGUGCAGAGAGAUGAAGGGGCUGCUAAGAUGGAGAAAGUGCUCAUUUCAAUGGCAUCUUCUGCAGAGAGAUGAAGGGGCUGCUAAGAUGGAGAAAGUGCUCAUUUCAACGGCCUUUCAUUCGGAUUGGCCCUCCUGUACUCGUUCUCGAUCAGCAACAAGGCCAGAAGCAGAUGCUUCAUGUGCAGGCCAGCGAGAAAAGAAGAAACUGGCCAUUGUUCGUAAGGUCUUGCAUGAAAUAGAAGAGAAAGCUGAGCUUAUUUUAGAUGAACGAGCUGAACAUGAGAGGAUGGUUGAAGCUUAUGCUCUAAUGGAUCAAAAAUUGCAGCAGGCAUUGUUGGAGCAUGAUAAUUUUGAAAAUACAAUAAGAAAUCUAAAGCUUCAGAACCAGGAAUUUCAGCAUACAUGGAAUGGCCCUGCAAGAAUCAGAAGCACAUCAAGAAUGGAGCAAUGCAAUCACCACCGCCAAAAAAUUGACCAAAAUCAGAUAACUGGGAAAGAAAGAAAAUAGAGGUACUUGAUUUUAUGUUCAAACUGGAUGAGCUAGGUAAGUAAGCAACCUUCUGCCCAAGAUGCUUCUCCAGGAUCCUCAGCUUCUCGUCCUGCUUCUUCAGCUCCUUGCUCAGCUGCAGCGAUGCCAAGUAAAGUUACUUUUACUGUCUACUUUAGCACAAUGAAUAUUCAAAAGUUGCAUUCAGUUAGCAAGCAGUUGGAAGUACAAGUUAACUUAGGCUAAACACUCAAGCAAGCAAAAGGGAAAGUUAACUCGUGAAGCAAAUUACCUCAGCAAUAGCCUUGUCCUUCAGAGCUUCUGUCACCUUCAGGCCUUUUAUUUCACUGUAUGCAUGUCCUAACUCUCUCUCCUUUUCUGCAGAAAAUGCCAAAGUCUUUAACCAAAGCAGGCAUGGCACUCUCCUCUAAUUUUGAUCCUUUGUAGAAUAACCGUUUCUAGAAAAAAAUAUUCUGGUGGAAAAUAUUAUGGAGUGUAUAGUUUCCUCCAAAAGCAGAGAAUAAAAAGGUAAGAUCGUUUGAAGGCCA